GACGAACGUUGGCGGCGUGCUUAAUACAUGCAAGUCAACUGAAGCAGUGGUAGCAAUAUCGCUGUGGAGGUGGCGCACGGGUGAGUAACACGUAGGUAAUCUGCCUUCAGGUCUGGCAUAACUCCGGGAAACCGGGGCUAAUAGCAGAUGAUGCAGCGGCUCGACAUCGAGACAGUUGUUAAAGCUAUGGCGCCUGAAGAUGAGCCUGCGUCUGAUUAGCUAGUUGGCGGGGUAACGGCCCACCAAGGCAACGAUCAGUAGCUGGUCUGAGAGGAUGAUCAGCCACACUGGAACUGAGACACGGUCCAGACUCCUACGGGAGGCAGCAGUAAGGAAUAUUGCUCAAUGGGAGAAAUCCUGAAGCAGCAACGCCGCGUGAGGGACGAAGGGCUUUUGCUUGUAAAGCUCUGUAGUGGGAGAAAAAAAUCCCAAUCUUUGGGACAUGAUGGUAUCUCAAAAGUAAGCCCCGGCUAACUACGUG
Molecule: ribosomal RNA, 481 nt
Filed under: uncultured bacterium
Lineage: Bacteria
Description: partial 16S ribosomal RNA
Rfam family: Bacterial small subunit ribosomal RNA
Source: RNAcentral